AACCUCGUAGCUCAGUUGGUAGAGCGUGCACUGUACAAAAGCUUAGGCGGCGUAAAUGAGUAAGUUCGAUUCCCACCUAGGUUA
Molecule: transfer RNA, 84 nt
Filed under: Echinostoma caproni
Lineage: Eukaryota; Metazoa; Platyhelminthes; Trematoda; Plagiorchiida; Echinostomatidae
Rfam family: tRNA
About the family: Transfer RNA (tRNA) molecules are approximately 80 nucleotides in length. Their secondary structure includes four short double-helical elements and three loops (D, anti-codon, and T loops).
Source: Rfam by way of RNAcentral